RNAcentral lists this ribosomal RNA (521 nucleotides) under uncultured bacterium. RNAcentral's name for it is "bacterial SSU rRNA". It matches the Rfam family "Bacterial small subunit ribosomal RNA", at positions 8 to 526 of the family's 1533-position model. The record is from RNAcentral.
AGAGUUUGAUCAUGGCUCAGAUUGAACGCUGGCGGCAUGCUUUACACAUGCAAGUCGAACGGCAGCGCGGGGCAACCUGGCGGCGAGUGGCGAACGGGUGAGUAAUAUAUCGGAACGUACCCAAGAGUGGGGGAUAACGUAGCGAAAGUUACGCUAAUACCGCAUACGAUCCAAGGAUGAAAGCAGGGGACCGCAAGGCCUUGUGCUCCUGGAGCGGCCGAUAUCUGAUUAGCUAGUUGGUGAGGUAAAGGCUCACCAAGGCGACGAUCAGUAGCUGGUCUGAGAGGACGACCAGCCACACUGGGACUGAGACACGGCCCAGACUCCUACGGGAGGCAGCAGUGGGGAAUUUUGGACAAUGGGCGCAAGCCUGAUCCAGCAAUGCCGCGUGAGUGAAGAAGGCCUUCGGGUUGUAAAGCUCUUUUGUCAGGGAAGAAACGGUGGGAGCUAAUAUCUCUUGCUAAUGACGGUACCUGAAGAAUAAGCACCGGCUAACUACGUGCCAGCAGCCGCGGUAAUAC